UGAGUAACACGUGGACAAUCCUGCCCCCCGGCCGGGAUAGCCCAGGGAAACCUGGAUUAAUACCGGAUGAGACGGGACCCGCGAUGGCGGGAUCCGGGAAAGGCGCUGCGGCGCCGCCGGGGGAUGAGUCUGCGUCCCAUUAGCUAGACGGCGGGUAACGGCCCACCGUGGCGACGAUGGGUAGCCGGCCUGAGAGGGUGGACGGCCACAUUGGAACUGAGACACGGUCCAGACUCCUACGGGAGGCAGCAGCUAAGAAUCUUCCGCAAUGGGCGAAAGCCUGACGGAGCGAACCGCCGCGUGAACGAAGAAGGCCGUGAGGUUGUAAAGUUCUUUUCGGGAGGGGGAACAACCGUGGCAGGGAAUGGCCGCGGGAUGACGUGAAUCCCGGAAUAAGCCCCGGCUAACUACGUGCCAGCCGCAGC
Molecule: ribosomal RNA, 425 nt
Filed under: uncultured bacterium
Lineage: Bacteria
Description: bacterial SSU rRNA
Rfam family: Bacterial small subunit ribosomal RNA
Source: RNAcentral